RNAcentral lists this transfer RNA (84 nucleotides) under Candidatus Anammoximicrobium sp. RNAcentral describes it as "tRNA-Ser". It matches the Rfam family "tRNA". Rfam says of the family: Transfer RNA (tRNA) molecules are approximately 80 nucleotides in length. Lineage: Bacteria; Pseudomonadati; Planctomycetota; Planctomycetia; Pirellulales; Pirellulaceae. The record is from RNAcentral.
GGAAGGGCAACCCGAUUGGCGACGGGACCCGGUUGGAAGCCGGUUGAGCGAUGAGCCUUGAGGGUUCGACUCCCUCCCUUUCCG